Molecule: small RNA, 117 nt
Filed under: Macaca fascicularis (crab-eating macaque)
Lineage: Eukaryota; Metazoa; Chordata; Mammalia; Primates; Cercopithecidae
Description: Metazoan signal recognition particle RNA (ENSMFAG00000064137.1)
Source: Rfam by way of RNAcentral
GCUGGGCGUGGUGGCUCAUGCCUGUAAUCCCAGCACUUUGGGAGGCCGAGGCAGGUGGAUCACCUGAGGUCAGGAGUUUGAGACCAGCCUGACCAACAUGGAGAAACCCUGUCUCUA